GAUGAACGCUGGCGGCGUGCUUAAUACAUGCAAGUCGAGCGAACGGACGAGAAGCUUGCUUCUCUGAUGUUAGCGGCGGACGGGUGAGUAACACGUGGAUAACCUACCUAUAAGACUGGGAUAACUUCGGGAAACCGGAGCUAAUACCGGAUAAUAUUUUGAACCGCAUGGUUCAAAAGUGAAAGACGGUCUUGCUGUCACUUAUAGAUGGAUCCGCGCUGCAUUAGCUAGUUGGUAAGGUAACGGCUUACCAAGGCAACGAUGCAUAGCCGACCUGAGAGGGUGAUCGGCCACACUGGAACUGAGACACGGUCCAGACUCCUACGGGAGGCAGCAGUAGGGAAUCUUCCGCAAUGGGCGAAAGCCUGACGGAGCAACGCCGCGUGAGUGAUGAAGGUCUUCGGAUCGUAAAACUCUGUUAUUAGGGAAGAACAUAUGUGUAAGUAACUGUGCACAUCUUGACGGUACCUAAUCAGAAAGCCACGGCUAACUACGUG
RNAcentral lists this ribosomal RNA (497 nucleotides) under uncultured bacterium. Its description in RNAcentral is "partial 16S ribosomal RNA". It matches the Rfam family "Bacterial small subunit ribosomal RNA", at positions 28 to 507 of the family's 1533-position model. The record is from RNAcentral.